CUUUGCACCCUUACCGUUGUUUAUGUAUUAUUUUAAGAAAACGGCGUAAUUUAUUCCGACUACAUUUACGUUACUAAUUAUUGUAUUGCCGAAAGCAGGAAUUCCUGUCUCAUUUCCGCACAACCACUUCCCGUCACAUUCUACAACAAGCUAUUGACGAUUCGCAUAAAUCUGAUGUGACAUAAUGCAUACAGCAAUUAAAAUUUAACCUAUCAAUCACUUUA
Long non-coding RNA from Folsomia candida, 224 nucleotides. RefSeq lists it as uncharacterized. Lineage: Eukaryota; Metazoa; Arthropoda; Collembola; Entomobryomorpha; Isotomidae. The transcript is spliced from 2 exons. The record is from RefSeq and is a predicted model, not a curated record.